CGGACGGGACCGCAGAGUCUGCCCCCGGUAUUCAGCUCGUCCUCUUCGUCGGCCGCGUCCGUCGCCAAACGACACCCUCUGAGCGGGUGCCAUGGCGGGCGUGAGCGCGGCGGGGGACGCGUGCACUUUCCGGGGUGCGGUGCGUCACGACCGGUUCGGCGGAGGUCAGAAGGCCGGCGGGAUGGUGGCCAGUCGUUCGCGUCUGGUGGUAUAGCCCGCCUGCGUCGCAGGCCCUCUGCUGGACCGAGGAGGAUCCGCGUCUGCCUUAGGGCGCGGGGCCCGGGGCCUCCCGUGCUGCCUCCGUGCCGGGACUGCUCUCGCAGUGCCGUGCGCGGCUCGGCGGUCGGGACGGACUCCGCUCCCCCCGUAACGGCGUCUAGGGUCGGUGGCGAUAUUGUCGGCAACCCGUCCGACCCGUCU
RNAcentral lists this ribosomal RNA (420 nucleotides) under Platynereis sp. MTPD199-20. Its description in RNAcentral is "partial 28S ribosomal RNA". Lineage: Eukaryota; Metazoa; Annelida; Polychaeta; Phyllodocida; Nereididae. The record is from RNAcentral. RNAcentral also lists the same sequence under 2 other names.